Molecule: ribosomal RNA, 567 nt
Filed under: uncultured bacterium
Lineage: Bacteria
Description: partial 16S ribosomal RNA
Rfam family: Bacterial small subunit ribosomal RNA
Source: RNAcentral
UGGGGAAUAUUGCACAAUGGGCGCAAGCCUGAUGCAGCGACGCCGCGUGAGGGAUGACGGCCUUCGGGUUGUAAACCUCUUUCAAUAGGGACGAAGCGCAAGUGACGGUACCUAUAGAAGAAGGACCGGCCAACUACGUGCCAGCAGCCGCGGUAAUACGUAGGGUCCGAGCGUUGUCCGGAAUUACUGGGCGUAAAGAGCUCGUAGGUGGUUUGUCGCGUUGUUCGUGAAAACUCACAGCUUAACUGUGGGCGUGCGGGCGAUACGGGCAGACUAGAGUACUGCAGGGGAGACUGGAAUUCCUGGUGUAGCGGUGGAAUGCGCAGAUAUCAGGAGGAACACCGGUGGCGAAGGCGGGUCUCUGGGCAGUAACUGACGCUGAGGAGCGAAAGCGUGGGGAGCGAACAGGAUUAGAUACCCUGGUAGUCCACGCCGUAAACGGUGGGUACUAGGUGUGGGUUUCCUUCCUUGGGAUCCGUGCCGUAGCUAACGCAUUAAGUACCCCGCCUGGGGAGUACGGCCGCAAGGCUAAAACUCAAAUGAAUUGACGGGGUCAUAGCUGUUUCC